CCUACGGGAGGCAGCAGUAGGGAAUCUUUCACAAUGGGCGAAAGCCUGAUGGAGCAACGCCGCGUGCAGGAUGAAGGCCUUCGGGUUGUAAACUGCUUUUAUAAGCGAGAAAUAUGAUGGUAACUUAUGAAUAAGGAUCGGCUAACUACGUGCCAGCAGCCGCGGUCAUACGUAGGAUCCGAGCAUUAUCCGGAGUGACUGGGUGUAAAGAGUUGCGUAGGUGGCAUAAUAAGUAGCUAGUGAAAUCUGGUGGCUCAACCAUUCAGACUAUUAGCUAAACUGGUAAGCUCGAGACCGUUAGGGGUAACUGGAAUUUCUAGUGUAGGAGUGAAAUCCGUAGAUAUUAGAAGGAACACCACUAGCGUAGGCAGGUUGCUGGGACGGUUCUGACACUAAGGCACGAAAGCGUAGGGAGCAAACGGGAUUAGAUACCCGUGUAGUC
RNAcentral lists this ribosomal RNA (442 nucleotides) under uncultured bacterium. Its description in RNAcentral is "partial 16S ribosomal RNA". It matches the Rfam family "Bacterial small subunit ribosomal RNA", at positions 338 to 795 of the family's 1533-position model. The record is from RNAcentral.